RNAcentral lists this small RNA (166 nucleotides) under Marmota monax (woodchuck). The stretch from base 1 to 82 matches the Rfam family "U4 spliceosomal RNA". Lineage: Eukaryota; Metazoa; Chordata; Mammalia; Rodentia; Sciuridae. The record is from RNAcentral.
UGCUUUGCGCAGUGGCAGUAUCGUAGCCAAUGAGGUUUAUCCGAGGCGCGAUUAUUGCUAAUUGAAAAAUAUCAUAAACUUGGUGGGGUAAGACAAUAAAUAUUAAGUAUCUUGGUUAUGGAGGACAGAAAUUCUAAAUUAAUAUCACUGGGAGAAAAUCAAUGUG